RNAcentral lists this ribosomal RNA (911 nucleotides) under uncultured bacterium. RNAcentral's name for it is "bacterial SSU rRNA". It matches the Rfam family "Bacterial small subunit ribosomal RNA", at positions 15 to 916 of the family's 1533-position model. The record is from RNAcentral. RNAcentral also lists the same sequence under 1 other name.
UUUUCUGGCUCAGGAUGAACGCUAGCUACAGGCUUAACACAUGCAAGUCGAGGGGCAGCGAUGAAGAAAGCUUGCUUUCUUCAGGCGGCGACCGGCGCACGGGUGAGUAACGCGUAUCGAACCUGCCUCAUACUCAGGAAUAGCCUUGCGAAAGUAAGAUUAAUGCCCGAUGUUAUUAGGAUAUCACAUGAUGUUUUAAUUAAAGAUUUAUCGGUAUGAGAUGGCGAUGCGUCCCAUUAGCUUGUUGGCGGGGUAACGGCCCACCAAGGCAUCGAUGGGUAGGGGUUCUGAGAGGAAGGUCCCCCACAUUGGAACUGAGACACGGUCCAAACUCCUACGGGAGGCAGCAGUGAGGAAUAUUGGUCAAUGGACGCAAGUCUGAACCAGCCAAGUAGCGUGCAGGAUGACGGCCCUCUGGGUUGUAAACUGCUUUUAGUUGGGAAUAAAGUGCAUCACGUGUGAUGUUUUGUAUGUACCAUCAGAAAAAGGACCGGCUAAUUCCGUGCCAGCAGCCGCGGUAAUACGGAAGGUCCAGGCGUUAUCCGGAUUUAUUGGGUUUAAAGGGAGCGCAGGCGGACCUUUAAGUCAGCUGUGAAAUACGGCGGCUCAACCGUCGAACUGCAGUUGAUACUGGAGGUCUUGAGUGCACACAGGGAUACUGGAAUUCAUGGUGUAGCGGUGAAAUGCUCAGAUAUCAUGAAGAACUCCGAUCGCGAAGGCAGGUAUCCGGGGUGCAACUGACGCUGAGGCUCGAAAGUGCGGGUAUCAAACAGGAUUAGAUACCCUGGUAGUCCGCACAGUAAACGAUGAAUACUCGCGAUUUGCGAUACACAGUAAGUCGCCAAGCGAAAGCGUUAAGUAUUCCACCUGGGGAGUACGCCGGCAACGGUGCAACUCAAAGGAAUUGACGG